This 28-nucleotide non-coding RNA is filed under the name Mus musculus (house mouse). The record is from RNAcentral. Lineage: Eukaryota; Metazoa; Chordata; Mammalia; Rodentia; Muridae.
UGACCAACGUUUGCAUUUCCACAGCGGC